GCCCCAAUGGCCAAGUGGUUAAGGCGUCAGCCUUCUAUUUGCCGAAUAGCUGAAAAUCGCGAGUUCGACCCUCGCUUGGGGUA
Non-coding RNA from Auriculariales sp. MPI-PUGE-AT-0066, 83 nucleotides. Lineage: Eukaryota; Fungi; Basidiomycota; Agaricomycetes; Auriculariales. The record is from the annotation of a GenBank genome assembly.